RNAcentral lists this ribosomal RNA (446 nucleotides) under uncultured bacterium. RNAcentral describes it as "bacterial SSU rRNA". It matches the Rfam family "Bacterial small subunit ribosomal RNA", at positions 29 to 521 of the family's 1533-position model. The record is from RNAcentral.
ACGAACGCUGGCGGCAUGCCUAACACAUGCAAGUCGAACGAGACCUUCGGGUCUAGUGGCGCACGGGUGCGUAACACGUGGGAAUCUGCCCUUAGGUUCGGAAUAACAGUUGGAACGACUGCUAAUACCGGAUGAUGACGUAAGUCCAAAGAUUUAUCGCCUAAGGAUGAGCCCGCGUCGGAUUAGCUAGUUGGUGGGGUAAAGGCCUACCAAGGCGACGAUCCGUAGCUGGUCUGAGAGGAUGAUCAGCCACACUGGGACUGAGACACGGCCCAGACUCCUACGGGAGGGCAGCAGUGGGGAAUAUUGGACAAUGGGCGAAAGCCUGAUCCAGCAAUGCCGCGUGAGUGAUGAAGGCCUUAGGGUUGUAAAGCUCUUUUACCCGGGAUGAUAAUGACAGUACCGGGAGAAUAAGCCCCGGCUAACUCCGUGCCAGCCGCCGCUGU